RNAcentral lists this ribosomal RNA (253 nucleotides) under uncultured bacterium. Its description in RNAcentral is "partial 16S ribosomal RNA". It matches the Rfam family "Bacterial small subunit ribosomal RNA", at positions 524 to 776 of the family's 1533-position model. The record is from RNAcentral.
UACGUAGGGUGCAAGCGUUGUCCGGAAUUAUUGGGCGUAAAGAGCUCGUAGGCGGUUUGUCACGUCGGAUGUGAAAACCCGAGGCUUAACCUCGGGCCUGCAUUCGAUACGGGCUGACUAGAGUUCGGUAGGGGAGACUGGAAUCCCUGGUGUAGCGGUGAAAUGCGCAGAUAUCAGGAGGAACACCGGUGGCGAAGGCGGGUCUCUGGGCCGAUACUGACGCUGAGGAGCGAAAGCGUGGGGAGCGAACAGG